UACGUAGGGUGCAAGCGUUGUCCGGAAUUAUUGGGCGUAAAGAGCUCGUAGGCGGUCUGUCGCGUCGGCUGUGAAAACCCGGAGCUCAACUCCGGGCCUGCAGUCGAUACGGGCAGACUGGAGUUCGGCAGGGGAGACUGGAAUUCCCGGUGUAGCGGUGAAAUGCGUAGAUAUCGAGAGGAACACCUGCGGCGAAGGCGGGUUGCUGGGCUGAUACUGACGCUGAGGCGCGAAAGCCAGGGGAGCGAACGGG
RNAcentral lists this ribosomal RNA (253 nucleotides) under uncultured bacterium. Its description in RNAcentral is "partial 16S ribosomal RNA". It matches the Rfam family "Bacterial small subunit ribosomal RNA", at positions 524 to 776 of the family's 1533-position model. The record is from RNAcentral.